CCUACGGGAGGCAGCAGUGGGGAAUAUUGCACAAUGGGCGCAAGCCUGAUGCAGCCAUGCCGCGUGUAUGAAGAAGGCCUUCGGGUGGUAAAGUACUUCAGGCGGGGAGGAAGUGUAGUAUGUGCUAAUAUCUAUGAUCAUGACGGUCCGCAGAA
RNAcentral lists this ribosomal RNA (155 nucleotides) under uncultured Escherichia sp. RNAcentral's name for it is "partial 16S ribosomal RNA". It matches the Rfam family "Bacterial small subunit ribosomal RNA", at positions 338 to 486 of the family's 1533-position model. Lineage: Bacteria; Pseudomonadati; Pseudomonadota; Gammaproteobacteria; Enterobacterales; Enterobacteriaceae. The record is from RNAcentral.